Octopus sinensis (East Asian common octopus) is the source of this 143-nucleotide long non-coding RNA. RefSeq lists it as uncharacterized. The record is from RefSeq and is a predicted model, not a curated record. The transcript has 3 exons. Lineage: Eukaryota; Metazoa; Mollusca; Cephalopoda; Octopoda; Octopodidae.
GUCAAUUAUAACCAUAUUGUGUAAAUGUGAUCAAUGUUUUCCUUUGUGGUGGUAGUUGCAGGACAUUCAGGCCUUAGGUCAUCUUCAAAACUAUCCUUUCCUCUCCUAAAUUCAGCUACCCACUUCUGCACUGUUGAUAAAAC